Non-coding RNA from Kogia breviceps (pygmy sperm whale), 438 nucleotides. The record is from RefSeq and is a predicted model, not a curated record. NCBI's taxonomy places the organism in Eukaryota, Metazoa, Chordata, Mammalia, Artiodactyla, Physeteridae.
UGACAUGUGAUUGGUAGGGAAAUGAAAGAUUAAAUUUAAUAAAAGUCACCAGAGAUCUUCAAGAAUAAGACUGGUACCCCAAGUAUAAAGGAAAAAGACACAGACCAUAAAAGGGAGAAAAAACUUUUGUCUUGGGUGUUGAAGGAUCCUGAGAAGUACCUUGCACUCUCUGGCAUUCUGAAAGGUGGAAAGCAAGCAGCUGCAUAAAGGGCAACCAGCAACUUUCCAGAUGGUAGAAGCAUCAUUUGCCUGGAGUGAGAAGAUGUAGAACAGAGUUCCAAGUUGUCCUGUGAUGAACAUGUAAUACUAGCAAGAAGUACACUAUUGUUACGCUAAUCUACUGCGUUUGGGAGCUUUUAUCUCAGUAUAAACUAUACUGUCCUGGUCACCCUCACAGUGUGAUUUGGAGAAAUUCAAAGAAGACGAUUCUUUAUGGAA